This 360-nucleotide long non-coding RNA is filed under the name Salvia miltiorrhiza (redroot sage). Its description in RNAcentral is "long non-coding RNA (SMIL_LNC000144)". The record is from RNAcentral. Lineage: Eukaryota; Viridiplantae; Streptophyta; Magnoliopsida; Lamiales; Lamiaceae.
GACAAGUACCUAACCGCCGACGAAGACGAGGAAUCCGUCGUCCAAGGCCGCGACGGAUCGUCCAAGGCCUCCAAAUGGACAGUCGAAUUCGUCGACAACUCCGACGGCAUCAUCCGCCUCAAGAGCUGCUACGGAAAGUACCUCACCGCCUCCAACCAGCCGUUUCUCCUCGGCAUGACGGGCCGGAAGGUGCUGCAGACGCGCCCCCGCCGCCUCGACAGCUCCGUCGAGUGGGAGCCCGUGCGGGAUAAAGGCGCCGCCAUCAAGCUCAAGACGAGGUACGGCCACUUCAUGAGGGCCAACGGCGGCGUGCCGCCCUGGAGGAACUCCGUCACGCAUGACAUCCCGCAUCGGACGGCC